Molecule: ribosomal RNA, 477 nt
Filed under: Candidatus Scalindua brodae
Lineage: Bacteria; Pseudomonadati; Planctomycetota; Candidatus Brocadiia; Candidatus Brocadiales; Candidatus Scalinduaceae
Description: bacterial SSU rRNA
Rfam family: Bacterial small subunit ribosomal RNA
Source: RNAcentral
UUCGCAAUGCCCGAAAGGGUGACGAAGCGACGCCGCGUGGGUGAGGAAGGCCUUCGGGUUGUAAAGCCCUGUCAGGAGUUAAGAAAUGUAGACUCGCUAAUAUCGGGUCUAUUUGACAAAGGCUCCAAAGGAAGCCACGGCUAACUCUGUGCCAGCAGCCGCGGUAAUACAGAGGUGGCAAGCGUUGUUCGGAAUUAUUGGGCGUAAAGAGCACGUAGGUGGAUUUGUAAGUCAGACGUGAAAGCCUUCUGUUCAACGGAAGAAUUGCAUCUGAAACUACAAACCUUGAGUGUAGGAGGGGAGAAUGGAACCUCUGGUGGAGCGGUGAAAUGCGUAGAUAUCAGAAGGAACGCCGGCGGCGAAAGCGAUUCUCUGGCCUAUUACUGACACUCAGUGUGCGAAAGCUAGGGGAGCAAACGGGAUUAGAUACCCCGGUAGUCCUAGCCGUAAACGAUGGGCACUAAGUAGAGGGGUUUU